UAUAGGUUUGGUCCCAGCCCUUCUAUUGUCUGCUAGCAAAACUACACAUGCAAGUAUCAGCCUCCCAGUGAGAAUGCCCUACAAAUCAUCAACCAUGAUAGACAGGAGCAGGUAUCAAGCACACUAUACAAGUAGCUCACAACACCUUGCUCAACCACACCCCCACGGGAAACAGCAGUGAUAAAAAUUAAGCAAUAAACGAAAGUUUGACUAAGUUAUGUCUACUUAAGGGUUGGUAAAUUUCGUGCCAGCCACCGCGGUCAUACGAUUAACCCUAGUCAAUAGAUACACGGCGUAAAGAGUGUUUAAGGAACAUCUGUAUAAAGUCAAACUAUAGCUAUGCCGUAAAAAGCUACAGCUAUUGUAAGCCCCAGUACGAAAGUAACUUUAAAAUACCUGAGUACACUAUAGCUAAGACCCAAACUGGGAUUAGAUACCCCACUAUGCUUAGCCCUAAACCUAAAGAGUUAUUCUAACAAAGCUCUUCGCCAGAGUACUACUAGCCAAAGCUUAAAACUCAAGGGACUUGGCGGUGCUUUACAUCCCUCUAGAGGAGCCUGUUCUAUAAUCGAUAAACCCCGAUAAACCUCACCAACCCUUGCUAACUCAGCCUAUAUACCGCCAUCUUCAGCAAACCUUAAAAAAGAAUUACAGUAAGCCAAAUUAUAUAUACGUAAAAACGUUAGGUCAAGGUGUAGCCUAUGGGUUGGAAAGAAAUGGGCUACAUUUCCUAUACCUAGGAUACUAUUCCUACACGAAAAUCCCUAUGAAACUAAGGAUAUAAAGGUGGAUUUAGCAGUAAACUAAGAAUAGAGAGCUUAGUUGAAUAAGGCCAUAAAGCACGCACACACCGCCCGUCACCCUCCUCAAGUACAUAAAGGUAUUACCCAAUCCUAUUAUCACUUACCACAGCUACCAGAGGAGAUAAGUCGUAACAAGGUAAGCGUACUGGAAAGUGCGCUUGGACAACC
RNAcentral lists this non-coding RNA (971 nucleotides) under Ectophylla alba. Its description in RNAcentral is "12S ribosomal RNA". It matches the Rfam family "Bacterial small subunit ribosomal RNA". Lineage: Eukaryota; Metazoa; Chordata; Mammalia; Chiroptera; Phyllostomidae. The record is from RNAcentral.